ACAAUAGCCUACAGAGAUUCUG
RNAcentral lists this microRNA (22 nucleotides) under Scyliorhinus torazame (cloudy catshark). RNAcentral's name for it is "Sto-Mir-216-P2a_3p* (star (passenger))". Lineage: Eukaryota; Metazoa; Chordata; Chondrichthyes; Carcharhiniformes; Scyliorhinidae. The record is from RNAcentral.